Molecule: ribosomal RNA, 1812 nt
Filed under: Triticum aestivum (bread wheat)
Lineage: Eukaryota; Viridiplantae; Streptophyta; Magnoliopsida; Poales; Poaceae
Description: partial small subunit ribosomal RNA
Source: RNAcentral
AUGCCCAGCGCGCCACCCGUCUCCUCCGCCGUCUCCAAGCUCCACUCGCGAUGCCACUCCCUCUCCACCAUGAAGCAGCUGCAUGCCCACCUCCUCCUCCACCACCACCCCUUCCCGUACAACCACUUCCUCUCCAAGCUCCUAUCCAUCUCCUCCUCCUCCGCCACCACCACCGCCGCCGCCGCCGACUACGCGCUCCUCCUGCUCGCCUCGCACCCGGCCCCCACCGCAUUCUCCUUCAACGUCGCCCUCCGCUUCUUCGCCGCCUCCCGCCCGCGCGUCUCCCUCCAGCUCUCCCUCCGCAUGCUCCGCUCCGCGCUCCGCCCUGACGCCUACACGCUCCCUUUCCUCCUCCUCGCCGCCGCCCGGUGCCCCGCGCCGGCCUUCGCCGUCUCGGCGCACGCGCUCCUGCAGAAGCUCGGGCUGCAGGACCACGACCACACCGUCCACUCCCUCAUCACCAUGUACUCCAACCUCGGCCGCCCCCGCGCCGCCCGCAGGGUGUUCGACGGAAUCCUCCGGCGGGACGUCGUGUCCUGGAACUCCAUGAUAAAGGCGUAUCAGGCGGCGGGGAUGAAGGACGAUGCGGCGCGCAUGUUCCGCGCGAUGGUCGCCGAGGGCGCGGUGCCGCCCAACGCGGUGACCGUGGCGGUCGUGCUCGCGGCGUGCAGGGACGCCGGAGACCUGGUGCUUGGUAGGUGGUUGGAGGAGUGGGUGAGAUCCGCGGGGAUGGAGGUGGGAUCGCUCGUCGGCUCGGCUCUCGUUGGGAUGUACGAGAAGUGUGGGGAGAUGGCGGAGGCGAGGAGAGUGUUCGACGCCAUCGCUGACAAGGAUAAUGUCGCUUGGAAUGCCUUGAUCACUGGGUACGCUCAGAACGGCAUGUCAAAGGAAGCCAUUUCCUUAUUUCACAGCAUGCGGCAAGCAGGGGCAUGUCCAGAUAAGAUAACCUUGGUAGGGGUGCUCUCGGCCUGUGCUGCAGUUGGUGCUCUGGAGCUAGGCACUGAACUUGACCGCUAUGCCUCACAAAGAGGCUUCUACAACAAUGUCUACGUUGGGACUGCUUUAGUGGAUAUGUACUCAAAGUGUGGAGACCUUACUAGAGCCAUACAAGUGUUUGAAAAAUUGCCAUGCACGAAUGAAGCUUCAUGGAACGCCUUGAUUUGUGGUCUUGCCUUUAAUGGGCGAGGCCAUGAAGCUAUUCGGCAGUUUGAAUUGAUGAGGAAGCAGGAAGGGCUCCGGCCAGACGAUAUCACUUUCAUAGGAGUACUUUCUGCCUGUGUGCAUGCAGGGUUGCUGAAAGACGGUCGGCGUUGGUUCGAUUCCUUGACAUCUGAGUUCCAAAUCAUUCCCAAGAUCGAGCACUACUCAUGCAUGGUUGAUUUAUUGGCACGUGCCGGACAUUUAGAAGAAGCAUGGGAUUUCAUUGAGAAGAUCCCUGGUAAGGCAGAUGCGGUGAUGUUGGGGGCUUUGCUUGCCGCUUGUCGGAAAUGCAAAAAUGUUGAGGUCAGUGUCAAGGUCAUCAACAGGAUCAUGCUGCUGGAGCCCUCAAACUCGUGGAACUAUGUGGUUUCAUCCAAGAUAUAUGCAAGCUCGGAUAGAUUGGAUGACUCUGCACGGAUGAGAGGGCUGAUGAGGGAGAGAGGUGUCAGCAAAAUUCCAGGUUGCAGCUGGAUUGAAGUUAGCGGCAGAGUUCUUGAAUUCUAUGCAGGGGAUGAACCACAGCACGGUGCGGAGGAUAUGUAUCAACUCCUUGACAUGCUUGUUGAUGAGAUGAGACUGGAGGGAUAUGUUCCAAAUCUUGAUCUGGUUUAA